GACGAACGCUGGCGGCGUGCCUAAUACAUGCAAGUAGAACGCUGAAGAGAGGAGCUUGCUCUUCUUGGAUGAGUUGCGAACGGGUGAGUAACGCGUAGGUAACCUGCCUUGUAACGGGGGAUAACUAUUGGAAACGAUAGCUAAUACCGCAUAACAAUGGAUGACACAUGUCAUUUAUUUGAAAGGGGCAAUUGCUCCACUACAAGAUGGACCUGCGUUGUAUUAGCUAGUAGGUGAGGUAAUGGCUCACCUAGGCGACGAUACAUAGCCGACCUGAGAGGGUGAUCGGCCACACUGGGACUGAGACACGGCCCAGACUCCUACGGGAGGCAGCAGUAGGGAAUCUUCGGCAAUGGGGGCAACCCUGACCGAGCAACGCCGCGUGAGUGAAGAAGGUUUUCGGAUCGUAAAGCUCUGUUGUAAGUCAAGAACGGGUGUGAGAGUGGAAAGUUCACACUGUGACGGUAGCUUACCAGAAAGGGACGGCUAACUACGUG
RNAcentral lists this ribosomal RNA (497 nucleotides) under uncultured bacterium. RNAcentral describes it as "partial 16S ribosomal RNA". It matches the Rfam family "Bacterial small subunit ribosomal RNA", at positions 28 to 507 of the family's 1533-position model. The record is from RNAcentral.